UCUGUGCAGGGAUUUAAUAGGGAUCCUGAUAGGAGAUACAGUACCAUAGUAGCAGAGCAAUCCUGUACUGAACCAUGUCCUGGGCUGUCCUCCUCCUCUCUCUCACCUCUCUCUGUACAUAUUCAGCCGCCCAAGUCUCUCUUACUCAGCCAGUGUCUGAAUCAGUGAAAUUGGGGGAGACAGUGAGAAUCUCCUGCACACUCAGUGGUUACAGUAUCAGUGAUCGCUAUGUGUACUGGUACCAGCAGAAAGCAGGGAAUCGCCCCAGAUACUUACUGUGGUUUAAGUCUGACUCAAGCAAACACCAGGGAGAUGGGGUACCUGAUCGGUUCUCUGGAUCCAAAGAUUCCCCUAAUAAUGUUGGCUAUUUAACCAUUAAAGGAGCCUUACUAGAAGAUGAUGCAGAUUAUUACUGUGCUAUAUGGUAUUCCAGCUCGUUGCACAGUGGUGUAUUGCUGUGAGGAACUGAAACAAAUGUUCAGAUAAUUUUUUUUCAACUUUCAUUUAAUGCAGCAAUACAUUACAGAAGGUUCCAUUGAUGUUUU
Non-coding RNA from Xenopus laevis (African clawed frog), 545 nucleotides. Lineage: Eukaryota; Metazoa; Chordata; Amphibia; Anura; Pipidae. The record is from the annotation of a RefSeq genome assembly.